This 82-nucleotide transfer RNA is filed under the name Gigantopelta aegis. RNAcentral describes it as "tRNA-Ser". It matches the Rfam family "tRNA". Rfam says of the family: Transfer RNA (tRNA) molecules are approximately 80 nucleotides in length. Their secondary structure includes four short double-helical elements and three loops (D, anti-codon, and T loops). Further hydrogen bonds mediate the characteristic L-shaped molecular structure. tRNAs have two regions of fundamental functional importance: the anti-codon, which is responsible for specific mRNA codon recognition, and the 3' end, to which the tRNAs corresponding amino acid is attached (by aminoacyl-tRNA synthetases). tRNAs cope with the degeneracy of the genetic code in two manners: having more than one tRNA (with a specific anti-codon) for a particular amino acid; and 'wobble' base-pairing, i.e. permitting non-standard base-pairing at the 3rd anti-codon position. The record is from RNAcentral. Lineage: Eukaryota; Metazoa; Mollusca; Gastropoda; Neomphalida; Peltospiridae.
GCUGUGAUGGCCGGGUGGUUAAGGCGUUGGGCUAGAAAUCCGAUGGGAUCUUCCUGCGUAGGUUCAAAUCCUACUCACAGCG